UCUCUGGUGGCCUAACGGUUAGGGAUUCAGCAUUGUCACUGCUGUGGCUUGGGUUCAAUCCCUGACCCGAGUA
RNAcentral lists this transfer RNA (73 nucleotides) under Sus scrofa (pig). It matches the Rfam family "tRNA". From Rfam's summary of the family: Transfer RNA (tRNA) molecules are approximately 80 nucleotides in length. Their secondary structure includes four short double-helical elements and three loops (D, anti-codon, and T loops). The record is from Rfam by way of RNAcentral. Lineage: Eukaryota; Metazoa; Chordata; Mammalia; Artiodactyla; Suidae.